AGGUUGUAGAUAUUAUGAAAGAUAAUUUGGACAACAUAUUAAAGCGAGAUGAUAAAUUGGAUGAACUAGAAAGAAGAUCGUGUAAGUCAUGAUUUUCAACACAGUAUUUCUUUUAAAUUUUCUAAUUUUUAUUUCUUUGAGUUUUGUCCCAUGAGUGCAAGACCUUGUGUUCUUACCCAACCAUUAAUUCAAAGCAAUUAGAGGUGUCAAAUUACUACAAUACGUUAAUUUGAAUAAAAAAUGUUAGUCAAAAUCGCAUAUUUUCACCUCUGUGCCUAAUUAAAACAAUGCAUAACAAAAGAAAAAGCAAUUAAUCACGAACGUGUCGUAGCUUAGCUAAGAUUUAUUCCUACUUAAUAAUAAUUAUGAAUAUGUGCGUAGUUUAAUGAGUGAAAUUCAUCAACUUAUGUACCAAAGGGAGUUCAUUUUCAAUGGUUUUAGACCCAACUCUCAACGGUGAAAAUAUGCGAUUCUGACUAACAUUUUUUAUCGGAUUCGUAUUUGCUAAUUUUUUAUCCAUUUGGCAUGAAGAAAAUAUCAUUCAACAGCUAAAAGCAUGAUCUUUCCGAAUGUAUUAAAAUCUCGUUCAUACGCAAAGUAUAAAUUCGGAUACAAUAGCGCGCUGAAGUUCGAUUACCUUUUUUUUUAUACACCCUGUAUUUCUUCACAAAAUGCCUGCAUAUUUGAUGAAAAUAAUGCAUGGCUUAUGUAAGUGAUAAUUAUAGGGUCAUAUAACUAGUUCUACCUUUGUUCAUAGAUCAACUAAGAAACGAGGCAGAAAUAUUUAAAGAGAAUACAAAAGAAAUUAAACGCAAGAUGUGGUGGAGGAAUAAAAAGGUAAAAUAAGUAACAUACAUACACAACGUGAAAAUAUUACUUCUUCAAAGUCAGUGCCGUGAAAGAAGAGUUGCAUUUCAACAAUAUAAAAGCAAAGAUAGAUGGAACCAUGUGAUUCAAACGUCGCGCUUCUCAUGUGCCGAAGCAUUAAAAACAAUAGAUAAUUAUAUAAUGAG
Non-coding RNA from Paramuricea clavata, 1013 nucleotides. The record is from the annotation of a GenBank genome assembly. NCBI's taxonomy places the organism in Eukaryota, Metazoa, Cnidaria, Anthozoa, Malacalcyonacea, Plexauridae.